Molecule: ribosomal RNA, 435 nt
Filed under: uncultured bacterium
Lineage: Bacteria
Description: partial 16S ribosomal RNA
Rfam family: Bacterial small subunit ribosomal RNA
Source: RNAcentral
AACGAACGCUGGCGGCAGGCUUAACACAUGCAAGUCGAACGCGUGCAGCAAUGCACGAGUGGCGCACGGGUGAGUAACGAGUGGAUAUCUGCCUUUUGGUUCGGAAUAACCCCGGGAAACUGGGGCUAAUACCGGAUGGUUCCUACGGGAUAAAGAUUUAUCGCCAAAAGAUGAGUCCGCGUCCGAUUAGCUAGUUGGUGAGGUAAUGGCUCACCAAGGCGACGAUCGGUAGCUGGUCUGAGAGGACGAUCAGCCACACUGGGACUGAGACACGGCCCAGACUCCUACGGGAGGCAGGAGUGGGGAAUAUUGGACAAUGGGGGCAACCCUGAUCCAGCCAUGCCGCGUGAGUGAUGAAGGCCUUCGGGUUGUAAAGCUCUUUUGGCGGGGACGAUGAUGACGGUACCCGCAGAAUAAGCACCGGCUAACUUCGUG